Molecule: small nucleolar RNA, 137 nt
Organism: Coccinella septempunctata (seven-spotted ladybird)
Lineage: Eukaryota; Metazoa; Arthropoda; Insecta; Coleoptera; Coccinellidae
Product: small nucleolar RNA SNORA53
Exons: 1
Source: RefSeq, a predicted model, not a curated record
UGCACAGCCCUUAGAUCCAUUUCUGACUUCUAAAGAAAUGCUUGAGUCAUAGUUGUGCCAAAGCAUAAUACCUCCAAUUUUGGUUUUCAUAAUGGAAUGACUUUCGUGCAUUUUAUUCAAACUAUAUUGGGGAACAU